RNAcentral lists this long non-coding RNA (4632 nucleotides) under Gossypium barbadense (sea-island cotton). RNAcentral's name for it is "long non-coding RNA (GBAR_LNC019817)". The record is from RNAcentral. Lineage: Eukaryota; Viridiplantae; Streptophyta; Magnoliopsida; Malvales; Malvaceae.
UCCCGUUAGAUGGAUCUUGCUUGACAAUUUUGGCUAAACCUUCAAAAUCACAUGCACCUUUAGUUUGAUUUGCCAUUUGGUAGUACAUGUUGAAGGCAACCGAGGCAUUCAUGUCAAUACCCAUACCAGAGCAUGAAGCUCCAGGUACCAAGGUUGUGCAAUCAGUACUAUUGCAAGCCCAUGCAACCUUUACAGCCAAAUCCUUUUGGUUAGAAGCAUCUUUGUUAUACACACACCACUGCUUUUCCAUGUAUUUGACAUUUUUUCCACCAACAAGCGACUUGUUCUGUCCUUUCCCUGACAAGUCCAUUGGAAACUUAGGUUGUCCGUCAAAGCUGAAAAUCCCCCAAUGCCUCUCAAACAUUCCAGGAUCAAUACUCUUAAGAUCUUCAUCCAACAAAGAGAACAUAUACACAUCAGGAUACUGCUUCGGGCGAAGUGGAGUUCCUUCAUUUGUUGCCAUUCUCUUUAGCAACCCAUUAUAAAACUUUUUAGCAUUUUUUGUUGUGGCGUAAAUAUUACCAUCAGUUGGCCAUCCAACUUCCCCCACGAUGAUUGGUAUAUCCGAGAAAUUAGCUACUUUAAGUGCCGCGACAAGAGUGUCAAUAUUAGCAUCUAAAACACUACGAUAUUUAACACCAUGAUCAUCCAUAGAGUUUGAGUCAUCGUUAUCAAAGAAGGCAUAAGGUUCAGGGAAUCCAGGAUUUUGGUAAAGAUUUAGGAAAGGAUAGAUAUUGACGAUAAAACCAGCAUCAUUUUUAUGGAGAAAUUCACAUAUUCCAUUCAUGAUAUCUGCCAAGUCAUGUCGAAAUAUUCCAUCCGAUGGUUUGUAAGUUGGUGUGAUGUAUACAUCACCAUUGAGCGGUGUUGAUACUUUGAUAUCUUUUCCAACACCCGCUUCAUUUAGUGCUUUCAGUAUGUUUUUCAUAGCUGGGAGUGUAAGGUUAUUGUACGUACCGUUGUAGGCUGCCAGAAAUGGUUCAUUUCCUACGGCCACGUACCUGUAAAAUAGUUGAAGAUAUUCAAUAAGUACAUCAAUAAUUUAUAUAAUUCAUUUUUAUUGCUUUAACUAAAUUCUCUUUGGUUAAUUAAAACUAUUUUCACCAUCCUAAAGGUAUUAAUGUUUAAUUCAUAAACUUUCAAUUAGGUUCUUCUUCAUAAUAAUUUAGUUUAUACUUUUAAAAAAAUUUACCCAUUAAUCUUAUUUUAUUCUAUUAAUUUUUAAAAUUUUGCAUAUAGUUAGCGUUUUAGAAAAAACUGAGUUAAUACUAAUAUUUUAGUUAACUCUUGUACUUUAACUAAGUAGAAAGUGGAAGAUAAAAUCAUUUCAAAACUUGGAAAUUAUGAACAUAAUAUUUUACAUAAAAUAUUGUAAUAAGAUCAUGGUUUAAAAUUGAUUUUUAUUUGUAACAAGAGAAACUUACUUGAAGUUGACACCCUUUUUACCCAUAUAUGCAGUGAUAUUUGCUUUCACCCAAGCUUGUGCUACACUAUAUUUCUCAGAAAGACUUUCCAAAGAAUGAUUGGGGAUCCCCACCAUGACCUCAAUAUCGGUUCCAGACAGGGCAGUUAGAAUGUCAUGCUCAGCAUGGAAAAGCUUAACCUUUUUUAUGCCAUUAUCUUUUAAUAUAUUAACGACAAUCUUAGGGUCUAAAGGAUGUGAUGCUAUGACACCCCAGUUGACACCAAGGCCUUGCGCUACAACACUAGCAGGGAAAAAUAUCAAUAUAUAUGCCCAUAAGAAGACCUGAGCUCGAAGCAUUGUGGGAGCUGGUUCAAAGAAGGGUUCAACUUGUUAAGUUAGAAGAAGGAAAACUAUGGUUUUUCUUUGUUUAAGCAAGAAGUGAAACUAUGGGUUUUGUUUUCUUCUUUUUUUUAUUUCUUUAAAAUGUCUUUAACUCAUUGGGAAAUGGAAAAACUUAAGACUAAUAAGGGUUAUUACAUAGGGGUAAUUGGUGCAGAAUUCUUGGCUGUACGAGAAAUUAGAGAAGAGACUAGCAUUUCUUGGUGAUUUUUAGUUGGAAGUUGUCAUACAAACAACUACGUAGAUGCCGUUGGUAUCUUGAAUGCUUUUCUAUUUUUAGUUUUGUUUGAUAAUAUGCACAAAAAUAGAAUGUUUUAUAUUAAAAUGUUUAUCAAAAAAUCUAUCAACCGUACAGCACAAAAUUAAUGAUGGAAAGCAUAUUUUAUUUAUCUUUUCUUAUGUAUACACUAUUUUUCUUUGCUUUUUGCACAAAUUUUAAGAAAUUUUUAUUUAAUCUUUUCUUUUAUUAACCAUGAAAUACUUUUACUCAAAUUAUUUUUAUUUUGAAAUAAAAAUGUUGUAAUUAUAAUUAAGGAUAGUGAAAAAGUUGUCACUGAUUAUCCAUUUUAAUUAACUUUGGAUAUGAAUUUUAUCAAAUUUGACAAUUUAAUUGAUUUUUUUUGUAGGAACAGUUAUUGUUCAAUGCGUAGGGAAACAAGCAUAUAUGUGUGUUGCAUGAGAGCUUGAUUUCACAUAUAAGAGUUUGAUCUAGCUUUAGGUUGAUUUUUGGAGCCAUAAGAUUCAAAUUGUAUGUAAAGCCCUUACUCUAGUAUUUGUUAUUUUUCCAAUUUAGGAGAUAGACACUAUGGUCUCAUAAAGUUGUAUUGGUAUUAAGUCAAAAAGAAUUCAUUGGUUUGAUUUUGAUAGGCAUACACUUGGAAGAAUCAAUAUGAUCAUCUACCGUAAUCAUUCUACAGAAGAACACAUUGGCUUGUCCAAUUAAGUGUUUGGUUGGAUCCGUCAAGGGAAACAAAAAUCAUAUUUAAACAACCUGCAGGACUGAGGUCAUUGGUUCAAGUUGGGCCCUUCUAGUUCACAAAGCUACCAAUAAGUUAAAUCAUAGACUCAUACUUCGCGGUUAUUCAUUCAAUAAGGGUUAGUUGUUGGGUGUUACCGCAAUUAAUUUACACAUAGAAGGGUUGGUGGUCUGAGGCAUCCUUGAUCACUAUAAUUGACUUGUCAGUUUGGAGGAGAAAAUUUAUUGUCCAGGAUCAGUCCGAAAUCAGAGCAUGAAGCUAGAUCAUCGUCACAUCGGUUUAUUUAGUUUUAAUUUAUUUUUAGUUUAUUUUACUGCAAUUCUAAUUUCUAUUUCUUUCUGUUAUCUUUAUUUUUUUUAAUUGGAUUUAAACCCAUUUUUAUUUUUGCACAAAUCAUCACGCGCCGUGGGCACUAUAGUUGCCUAGCGCGCAACUUGGUUAAAUUAAACUAUACUACUAUGUAUAUAUUAUUUAGGUCUAGGAAUUUAUUUUUCAUGGAUUCGAGACCCAUCAUGUAACGACCCGAUUUUCAAUAGUGGCAAAAAAUGCAAUUUUGGAACCCCAUUUCCGUAAACCUAGUCCGUAAGGAUGAAAUAUAAAGAUUAAUGAAGUUAGUAUGAAAAUAUAUUGAAGUUCGGUUAAGUAAAUCAUGAAAUUAGUUAAUUAAAGCUCAGGAACUCAAUUGUAAAAGCUCAAUUGCUAUUGAGUUUUGAAUUAGAAAAGGCUUGAGGGCCUAGAUAGCAAUUAUUUAAAGGGCUUAAAUGAUUAAUUAACCAUUAUUCAACAUGAACUACAAUUAACACAAUUAAGCUCAAAACCAAACUAGCCAAAUUUUUAUUUAUUCAUCUACAACCUAAUAUGAUUGAAAUUUCACAAGAAUUUCACCUUAAGUUCAUUGUCUUAUCAUUUUUGUAACAACCCGGUUUUGACCCUAAUCGAAAUAGUGGUUUUGGGACCACAAAUCCGAAUUAAAAAAAUAUUAUUAAUAUUAUUUUGUGUGUUUAUUUCGUGUGCAUUUGAUUGUGUGAAAUUUUCAUGUUUUAAUUUCGUCGUUUAAGUGUCCGAUUUAAUAAAAGGGUUUAAUCGCGUAAAAUAAAAGUUAGAGGUUAAAAUUUAAAAGCACCUAUUUGUAGUUGUCUUUUUAAGUGGGAGGUCUAAAGAUGUAAUUAGACCAAGAUUUAGUUAGUGGGUGGUAUAUGCCAACAUUGCCCUUAAGUUAUGUAAUUUAUAAUUUAUUUAAUUAAGGUUAAUUUAGUCAUUAAGUAAAUUAUAAUAUUAUAACUAAAAUAAGUCAUAAAAAGAUGAAUAUGUUCAUCUUUGUUAGCCGAAUAUUGAAUUAAGGUCAUAUUUACACAAACCAAAUAGUAAAAAUACCUACACAAAAUUGAAAGAUAAGUAGGGGAGAAUGAAAGGGAGAGGAAGAGGGAGAAGGAGAGUGAGUUUGAAAGGGAGAGUGAGAUGUUGAAGAGCUAGGGGUGGAAGACCUUGAUGAUUUAGGAGCAGACGCAUUGGAAUUGGAUGUAGUUUGGAUAGUUUUAAUCAUAAUCGGGAAUCGACAUGUCCCGUUAGAUGGAUCUUGCUUGACAAUUUUGGCUAAACCUUCAAAAUCACAUGCACCUUUAGUUUGAUUUGCCAUUUGGUAGUACAUGUUGAAGGCAACCGAGGCAUUCAUGUCAAUACCCAUACCAGAGCAUGAAGCUCCAGGUACCAAGGUUGUGCAAUCAGUACUAUUGCAAGCCCAUGCAACCUUUACAGCCAAAUCCUUUUGGUUAGAAGCAUCUUUGUUAUACACACACCACUGCUUUUCCAUGUAUUUGACAUUUUUUCCACCAACAAGCGACUUGUUCUGUC